RNAcentral lists this ribosomal RNA (483 nucleotides) under uncultured bacterium. RNAcentral describes it as "partial 16S ribosomal RNA". It matches the Rfam family "Bacterial small subunit ribosomal RNA", at positions 30 to 506 of the family's 1533-position model. The record is from RNAcentral.
AUUGAACGCUGGCGGCAGGCCUAACACAUGCAAGUCGAGCGGAUGAAGGGAGCUUGCUCCUGGAUUCAGCGGCGGACGGGUGAGUAAUGCCUAGGAAUCUGCCUGGUAGUGGGGGAUAACGUCCGGAAACGGGCGCUAAUACCGCAUACGUCCUGAGGGAGAAAGUGGGGGAUCUUCGGACCUCACGCUAUCAGAUGAGCCUAGGUCGGAUUAGCUAGUUGGUGGGGUAAAGGCCUACCAAGGCGACGAUCCGUAACUGGUCUGAGAGGAUGAUCAGUCACACUGGAACUGAGACACGGUCCAGACUCCUACGGGAGGCAGCAGUGGGGAAUAUUGGACAAGGGGCGAAAGCCUGAUCCAGCCAUGCCGCGUGUGUGAAGAAGGUCUGCGGAUUGUAAAGCACUUUAAGUUGGGAGGAAGGGCAGUAAGUUAAUACCUUGCUGUUUUGACGUUACCAACAGAAUAAGCACCGGCAAACUUCGU